Mauremys reevesii (Reeves's turtle) is the source of this 460-nucleotide non-coding RNA. Lineage: Eukaryota; Metazoa; Chordata; Testudines; Geoemydidae. The record is from the annotation of a RefSeq genome assembly.
ACCGUUUCCCUCGUUGAAGGAUAUAAGAAUUUAGGGCGGUAGCUUCAUAGGGAAUAUCUGGCACAAGGCCGCUGUGCUAAAGCAGAGAUCAGCGGCAGUCAUGCUGCGGCUGUUACAUUAUCUUUGCUUUAUCUCAUGGUGCAGCCUGUCAGGCUGGGUGGCCGCGAUCACUUUAACCCAGCCGAGUUCUGCCGAGGCAGAGCCAGGGAACUCCAUUACGCUGGACUGCACUGUUUCUGGGUAUAAUGUUAAUGACCGUCAUAUGCAAUGGUUGCGCCUUCCCCGGGGGAAAAAUCUGGUCCGGAUAGCAUCCUUCAGACCGGGUUACACCAUCUACAUCGCGGAUGAGUUCAAAGGACGCGUUACCCCCUCCACCAGCGGCUCCACUGGCAAGCUAAAGAUAGACAGUCUCACAGCUGCAGACACCGCUACCUACUACUGUGCGACAGAUGCACAGUGA